AUGAACCGCUUUCGGGCGGGGAUUAGUGGCGAACGGGUGAGUAACACGUGGGCAAUCUGCCCUGCACUCUGGGACAAGCCCUGGAAACGGGGUCUAAUACCGGAUAUGACUGUCCAUCGCAUGGUGGAUGGUGUAAAGCUCCGGCGGUGCAGGAUGAGCCCGCGGCCUAUCAGCUUGUUGGUGAGGUAGUGGCUCACCAAGGCGACGACGGGUAGCCGGCCUGAGAGGGCGACCGGCCACACUGGGACUGAGACACGGCCCAGACUCCUACGGGAGGCAGCAGUGGGGAAUAUUGCACAAUGGGCGAAAGCCUGAUGCAGCGACGCCGCGUGAGGGAUGACGGCCUUCGGGUUGUAAACCUCUUUCAGCAGGGAAGAAGCGAAAGUGACGGUACCUGCAGAAGAAGCGCCGGCUAACUACGUGCCAGCAGCCGCGGUAAUACGUAGGGCGCAAGCGUUGUCCGGAAUUAUUGGGCGUAAAGAGCUCGUAGGCGGCUUGUCACGUCGGUUGUGAAAGCCCGGGGCUUAACCUCGGGUCUGCAGUCGAUACGGGCAGGCUAGAGUUCGGUAGGGGAGAUCGGAAUUCCUGGUGUAGCGGUGAAAUGCGCAGAUAUCAGGAGGAACACCGGUGGCGAAGGCGGAUCUCUGGGCCGAUACUGACGCUGAGGAGCGAAAGCGUGGGGAGCGAACAGGAUUA
Molecule: ribosomal RNA, 696 nt
Filed under: Streptomyces albidoflavus
Lineage: Bacteria; Bacillati; Actinomycetota; Actinomycetes; Kitasatosporales; Streptomycetaceae
Description: bacterial SSU rRNA
Rfam family: Bacterial small subunit ribosomal RNA
Source: RNAcentral